GUCCAGACUCCUACGGGAGGCAGCAGUGGGGAAUAUUGCACAAUGGGGGAAACCCUGAUGCAGCGACGCCGCGUGAGUGAAGAAGUACUUCGUUAUGUAAAGCUCUAUCAGCAGGGAAGAAAAUGACGGUACCUGAGUAAGAAGCCCCGGCUAACUACGUGCCAGCAGCCGCGGUAAUACGUAUGGUGCAAGCGUUAUCCGGAAUGACUGGGUGUAAAGGGAGCGUAGACGGUUGUACAAGUCUGAUGUGAAAGCCCACGGCUCAACUGUGGGAGUGCAUUGGAAACUGUAGAACUAGAGUAUCGGAGAGGCAAGUGGAAUUCCUAGUGUAGCGGUGAAAUGCGUAGAUAUUAGGAGGAACACCAGUGGCGAAGGCGGCUUGCUGGACGAAAACUGACGUCGAGGCUCGAAAGCGUGGGGAGCAAACAGGAUUAGAUACCCCUGUA
This 446-nucleotide ribosomal RNA is filed under the name uncultured bacterium. RNAcentral describes it as "bacterial SSU rRNA". It matches the Rfam family "Bacterial small subunit ribosomal RNA", at positions 329 to 792 of the family's 1533-position model. The record is from RNAcentral.